AUCCAGCUGACAACUAGUCCCAAAUAGGACGAAAUGCGCAUCCUGGAU
RNAcentral lists this non-coding RNA (48 nucleotides) under Trichobilharzia regenti. The record is from RNAcentral. Lineage: Eukaryota; Metazoa; Platyhelminthes; Trematoda; Strigeidida; Schistosomatidae.